Long non-coding RNA from Macrobrachium nipponense, 2654 nucleotides. RefSeq lists it as uncharacterized. The transcript has 3 exons. The record is from RefSeq and is a predicted model, not a curated record. NCBI's taxonomy places the organism in Eukaryota, Metazoa, Arthropoda, Malacostraca, Decapoda, Palaemonidae.
ACAGAUCCUGUGUAUGGAAGUGGAAGUUGGCCAAGUCCUUUGUUGUAAUAGAAAUAGACUGUCAACUGGUUUCUUGAGGUUAUCCACAGCUGAAAUUUCUUAAGGGGAAUCAUUAAUGAAUUCUGAAGAAAAUUACAUACCCUGAGAGAGUUGUGAGUGUCACCAGCAUGGGGACAAUUUUAGUUAUAGCCCAGCAUCACCAAGUACCAGCUAUGAAAGAAGAAAGAAAAUUAAAGCGGUAACUACUUAUUAUUCACCAGAUUUAUACCAAGUGCCAUAGUGCAAAAACCAAGGGUCCCAUUAACCCCGUUACAUAACUGCUGGAAAGAGUCCUAGAGAUUACAAUGCCAUCUCCUUUGAUUGUUAAAAGUAGGAUUCGGUUAGAUUUACAGUAUUGUGUGCUGUAUCUGGGUCAUAACAGCACCUGUUGACCAGAAGAUUUAGUCAAGCCCAGGUUUGCUUCAUGUAAUUUUGAAAUAGGAGCUGUUGGAGUUUUCAUGAAAUAAGGUAGUUCACGGCUGCUGGUUUAAUAUUUCAGGAUAAUUUUUUUUUUUAUUUCUUCUCAAUGUUAGCCAUGCAGCAGCUCUGUAUCAUUUGUGACACAUGGAGUGUUUUAUGCCCAAAACUCAUAUGGAUUUGAUAUUACUUAAGUACAUAUUUAGUCUUCUUAUAAGUUCAGCAUCAGGUAACCUGUAGUUUAGUAUGUUUCUGAAGAGUAUGCAGUUUUCAUGCUAAGACUUCUUAUCACUUGAGAUAUUAUUAUUCAGAAUAUAAACCCCUCUUCAUGUGGAACAAGCCCACAGGGGCCAUCAACUUGAAAAUCUAGCUUCCAAAGAAAAUUAUGUUCAUUUGAAAGAAGUAACAGAAGAGAUCAGGUAUUAGAAAAGAUAAAAUAUAUUAACCAAUUAAAAAACAGAUAGAUAAAAAUGUUAGUAAAUUAUAAAAUAUAAAAAAUAUGAGGAGAAUUGCUUUAGAGUAAUAAUGCAUUGCAUCUUCGCUUGAACUACUGAGGUUCAAUUUGCACAUAUCAGUUAUUUCAGUAAAUGUCAGUAUACCUGGUGUACUUUCCACUAUCAGCUAUGAUGAGGCAGCUUGGUGUUUUGGUAUAGUAGUAUACUAUAUUAACUUUAUCAGUUUUACAAUGAUAAUGUGGUACCUUCAAGAUACAUAGUCAAGUAGUACUUCAGUAUGAUACAGGAUAGUUUAAUUUUAAAUUCUUACUAGAGGAUACAUAGGUUUUCAUAUAAAUUUCAUAUUAGUUUAAUAUUAACAGUCAAAUUGUUCUUUAUGUUUCAGGAUACAUGGUUUUAAGUUUUCUUUAAUAAUAUACGUAUUUGAUAUCUGUUACAAGUAGCUCAGUGUGUCCGAAUUCCCUAAGAAAUUUAAUUUUCUUAUUCAGUACCUGCUGUCUUGCAGACUGCAAGAUACAUGAUUUUUUGUUUUUACUUAAGAUUCAUAAGUUUAGGGCUAGCUAUCUAAUUUAUGUAUCCUGAAACAAUUUCAGGAUACAUAAAAUCUUCACUAAAGCCUCUCAUACGUUUAAUACAGCUGUGCAUCAGAAUUCAUAGUUUUCGCUUGAAUUUCCUAGUAUGUAUAGUGCUAUUAGCUAUUAAGUAGCUUAGCGGACUUAGAAUUCAUAAUGCUUACCUAUAAUUCUCAUUAGUUUAGUUUAAGGUGAUAGGUAGCUCUGGAUAUUUCCAUUUGCAUAAUAUUAAAAAUGAAUCUAAUGUCAGUACAAUGUCUUCGAUAAGUAGUCACAGCAAUGUUAUGACUAGCUUAUAUCAAGAAGUCCUGUAUGUAUAAAGGUAGUUUUUGUAUCAACGUAGUUAUGAUUUGCUGUGUCCAGUAGGUCACCAAGUUUAAUAUUAAGCAAUUUCAAUUAUUUUCAUUAAUUUAACAAAAUUUUAAAUAUGAGCUCCUCACUUGACGAGUGAGUUCCAUACUCGACUAUCAAUCUGGUAGCCAAAGUUUGCUUCCUGCAGCCACGAGCGUGGAAUUAGAGGCGUUUAUUUCUGGUGAUUAGAAAUUCAUUUCUUGAUAUAAUGCGGUUCUGAUCCCACAAUAAGCUUUAGGUCCUGUUGCUGAGAAACCUGUUGGUUCCUAAGAAAAAAAUUUGAUCCUUCGGGCCAGCCCUAGGAGAGCUAGCGGUUAAUCAGCUCAGUGGUCGGGUAAAACUAAGAUACACUUACUUAAAUAUGAUCAUAGCAAUAAGUUCAUUAGUUAGAAGGACUAGUUUUACUAAUGUGGUGGACUAUUUUGAUAUGGGUCAGUAAAGAUAGGAAUAGUUUUGUGGAAUAAAACUUGAAAGAUAUGAACGUUUUUGGAAUAUAUAAUAUUUUUAUCAAAUAAUGUUUUGAUAUUUUUUUUGGCAAGUCUUAAAAGAUAUUCUCAAACUAGCUUCCAUCAUAGUGGGGACUUGCGUCAAGCUUAUCAUAUACACUCCUUAGCCUUCAUCUAUAAUUUGUUUCAAUUUUUUAUUUAUAUCAGACUUCCUUUUGAAUUAAUUUGUAAUACAUAGUUUCGAGGUUUUGCGUUAUUGUAAUGUUAUGUAAGUUUGGUACGUACUUAUUUUGUUAAAAAACUGGUUACUGAAAGGCUUUGUUUACUACAAGAAAGAUAUAGCUUGAAGCAUUUACAUGUGCACACUGUUAAGA